RNAcentral lists this ribosomal RNA (468 nucleotides) under uncultured bacterium. Its description in RNAcentral is "partial 16S ribosomal RNA". It matches the Rfam family "Bacterial small subunit ribosomal RNA", at positions 28 to 507 of the family's 1533-position model. The record is from RNAcentral.
GACGAACGCUGGCGGCGUGCUUAACACAUGCAAGUCGAACGGAAAGGCCCUGCUUUUGUGGGGUGCUCGAGUGGCGAACGGGUGAGUAACACGUGAGUAACCUGCCCUUGACUUUGGGAUAACUUCAGGAAACUGGGGCUAAUACCGGAUAGGAGCUCCUGCUGCAUGGUGGGGGUUGGAAAGUUUCGGCGGUUGGGGAUGGAGGCGGGGCUUAUCAGCUUGUUGGUGGGGUAGUGGCUUACCAAGGCUUUGAAGGGUAGCCGGACUGGGAGGGUGACCGGCCACAUUGGGAUUGGGAUACGGCCCGGACGCCUACGGGAGACAGAAGUGGAGAAUAUUGCACAAUGGGCGGAAGCCUGAUGCAGCAACGCCGCGUGCGGGAUGACGGCCUUCGGGUUGUAAAGCGCUUUCGCCUGUGACGAAGCGUGAGUGACGGUAAUGGGUAAAGAAGCACCGGCUAACUACGUG